CCCCUAGACGUUCUGGGCUGCACGCGCGCUACAAUAAUACGCACAGCGAGUAUCACCGAGCUCGAAAGGGCAAGGUAAACAAUAGAAAAGGUACUGUAAUGGUUAUAGAUCCUUGUAAUUAUUGAUCUUCAACGAGGAAUUCCUAGUAAGUAUGUGUCAUCAUCACGCACUGAUUACGUCCCUGCCCUUUGUACACACCGCCCGUCGCUCCUACCGAUUGGGUGAGCCGAUGAAACUCUCGGAUGUAGGCUAUUCAUAGCCCGCAGAAAAGAUUUGAAUCGUAGCGCUUAGAGGAAGGAGAAGUCGUAACA
RNAcentral lists this ribosomal RNA (311 nucleotides) under uncultured eukaryote. Its description in RNAcentral is "partial 18S ribosomal RNA". It matches the Rfam family "Eukaryotic small subunit ribosomal RNA", at positions 1470 to 1796 of the family's 1831-position model. The record is from RNAcentral.